This 1118-nucleotide long non-coding RNA is filed under the name Canis lupus dingo (dingo). RNAcentral's name for it is "lncRNA (ENSCAFG00020005376.1)". The record is from RNAcentral. Lineage: Eukaryota; Metazoa; Chordata; Mammalia; Carnivora; Canidae.
UCUCAAUCUAGAGACAGGGUCGGAAAGCUCACCCCAAAAAGCAGACGCUUCCACAGGAGAGGAGAGGACAGAGGAUUAAGAGAUCUGACCCAACAAGCAAUCUGUGAACUUCAGCUGGACGACAUCACCAAAAGAACACACGAUUCCUUUUGCUUAGGUAGAAACUGCGUUUCAAAGCAACAGAAAGCAGCAAUUCUUAACACCGGUUGAGCACAGGCAUCACUUUCUGAUAGAGUCAAAUCAGAGCACCUACAGCACCACAGUUCUGUUCAAGGGAAGUCUAGAAACCAAAGCAAUUUCCAUCUUCAGGGCGCUUCAGCGCUUUGGCAUUCCCGCAAGUCUCCGGAGGUGCCCUAGUAACACAGUGCGUGUGAUGGAAACUGAGGCACAGGAAGCAGGAGAGGCGGGUUCGCAUGGAGGCUGUGGCUGCAGAAGCAGAGAAGCCAGGUCCUUUAAAUGUACCACUGAGCCAGCAAGAAGGUGAAGGAAAAGCCAAAAUCAAAAAGCCAGGAAUUCCUGAAGGCUUGACCCUUCCCAGACCCUGCUCCUGUGACCCAGCCAAUUUUACAGAAUCAGCAUUGCCCAAGUUCAUCGAGCCUUGGCACAUCCAAGUGGUCUUUCAUGACUUCUUCAUUAUAGGAAGAGAUGCAAGAGAGAAGUCUGCUGCGGAAGGCCUGCAUGCAACCUGGUGUCCUUAUGAAAAGAGGAAGCUUAAACCCACAGAGAAACACCAGGGGCAUGUGUACACUGAGGAAAGACCAUGCAAGGAGGCAGCAAGGUGUCUGCUAUCUGUAAGCCAAGGAGAGACCCCUCAACAGAAACCAGUCCUGCCGCCAUUUUGAUAUUGGACUUCCAUUCUCCAGAACUUCGAGAAAAUAGAUUUCUGUUGUCAGCCACUCAGACUGUGGUAGUUUGUUACACAGUCAUGGUUCAAACCAUGCAAACUAAUACACUAUAGUAAGGCAAAACAAUCACUUGGAUGAUAGGAAAUUAAGAGGACUUUAGGAAUAUCGAAGGUAACAAAUGGAAUAUACACAUGUACACACACACAUACACGCACGCACAUAUAUACCCAUACAUCCAUGUAUAUAAAGAGAAAAUGAAAUUAAAACAACGUC